Molecule: ribosomal RNA, 442 nt
Filed under: uncultured bacterium
Lineage: Bacteria
Description: partial 16S ribosomal RNA
Rfam family: Bacterial small subunit ribosomal RNA
Source: RNAcentral
CUACGGGCUGCACCAGUGGGGAAUAUUGGACAAUGGACCAAAAGUCUGAUCCAGCAAUUCUGUGUGCACGAUGACGGUCUUCGGAUUGUAAAGUGCUUUCAGUUGGGAAGAAAAAAAUGACGGUACCAACAGAAGAAGCGACGGCUAAAUACGUGCCAGCAGCCGCGGUAAUACGUAUGUCGCAAGCGUUAUCCGGAUUUAUUGGGCGUAAAGCGCGUCUAGGUGGUUUGAUAAGUCUGAUGUGAAAAUGCGGGGCUCAACUCCGUAUUGCGUUGGAAACUGUCAAACUAGAGUAUCGGAGAGGUGGGCGGAACUACAAGUGUAGAGGUGAAAUUCGUAGAUAUUUGUAGGAAUGCCGAUAGAGAAGUCAGCUCACUGGACGAAUACUGACACUGAAGCGCGAAAGCAUGGGGAGCAAACAGGAUUAGAUACCCCCGUAGUC